RNAcentral lists this ribosomal RNA (550 nucleotides) under Plautia crossota. Its description in RNAcentral is "SSU rRNA". It matches the Rfam family "Eukaryotic small subunit ribosomal RNA", at positions 761 to 1307 of the family's 1831-position model. Lineage: Eukaryota; Metazoa; Arthropoda; Insecta; Hemiptera; Pentatomidae. The record is from RNAcentral.
ACAAAUUAGAGUGCUUAAAGCAGGCUACCUUCGCCUGAAUACUGCGUGCAUGGAAUAAUGGAAUAGGACCUCGGUUCUAUUUUGUUGGUUUUCGGAACCCCGAGGUAAUGAUUAAUAGGGACAGAUGGGGGCAUUCGUAUUGCGACGUUAGAGGUGAAAUUCUUGGAUCGUCGCAAGACGGACAGAAGCGAAAGCAUUUGCCAAAAAUGUUUUCAUUAAUCAAGAACGAAAGUUAGAGGUUCGAAGGCGAUCAGAUACCGCCCUAGUUCUAACCAUAAACGAUGCCAGCUAGCGAUCCGCCGAAGUUCCUCCGAUGACUCGGCGGGCAGCUUCCGGGAAACCAAAGCUUUUGGGUUCCGGGGGAAGUAUGGUUGCAAAGCUGAAACUUAAAGGAAUUGACGGAAGGGCACCACCAGGAGUGGAGCCUGCGGCUUAAUUUGACUCAACACGGGAAACCUCACCAGGCCCAGACACCGGAAGGAUUGACAGAUUGAUAGCUCUUUCUUGAUUCGGUGGGUGGUGGUGCAUGGCCGUUCUUAGUUGGUGGAGC